UCAAAAUAUCACAGAAAAGUCAAUAUGUCGGGUAAUUAUCGCGAAAUAUCAUCGCACGAGACAUAUCGUCAAAUUCUCUUUCUCGGCAAUUUCUCGCGUUUCGAUUUUGGUUUGAAAAACCGAAACUUUUCGCGUUUCAACAUGCGUUUCGGCGUGUAUUUUGGUUUCCGAGGAUUUUCAGAUUAACCGAGUCGUCUGCGGCGGCGUUUCGAUUUCGUUUCCGAGAACCUGAAACGUUUCGGCGCAUAUCAGGGAGUUUCGGCUAUUAUAUCCAUUUUCCCCUUUUCUUGAUAUUUGUUUCCCCGAUUUCCAACUUCUUGUGGCUGCGCUGCUCCCAUGACUCUCCCAAUUUCGUAAGUUCCUCCACUUUUACUGUUGGCUUUUUGUUAUCUUUGUGAAUUGAUUUGUUCUCCUGUGUAUCUAUCAGUUUGGGGGACUGUUUGCCGACAUACUUCUGUUUUCGCUGAAGGAAAAAAUUGAUGGCCAGAGAAAGGAAAGAGAAUUCUGGAAUUGACAAACGAAUGAAAAGAACAGAAUAGGGGGAAGCUAAUGAGACAAAUGAAAACAAAUGUGCAUAUUAUCUCACCAAGCAAGAUUACUUUCCCUAAUCUCUUUAUUGUCAGUACAUGCUUCUGACCAUGAAUAAUCAGAACGAUUGGUUUGGAGAUGGUGAACGGGGUAUCUAACAUAACCAGUCUUUAUGUUUAUAACAGAUAAUAAGCAGCACAUAAGCAUUAUUUAGACUGAAUUCUCAGUUUAACGCUUGUGAUUGAAGAUCACAUUGAUAGCUUUAGGUUCAGCUGUGACCAGGAUCUUUGGGUUAAAAUGGAUUAAAGACUGACCAGAAAGCCAAUCAGUUUCAGUACGAUUUAAGACAGUUAAACUGAUU
This 889-nucleotide long non-coding RNA is filed under the name Linum usitatissimum (flax). RNAcentral describes it as "long non-coding RNA (LUSI_LNC002977)". Lineage: Eukaryota; Viridiplantae; Streptophyta; Magnoliopsida; Malpighiales; Linaceae. The record is from RNAcentral.